This 270-nucleotide ribosomal RNA is filed under the name uncultured prokaryote. RNAcentral's name for it is "partial 16S ribosomal RNA". It matches the Rfam family "Bacterial small subunit ribosomal RNA", at positions 524 to 794 of the family's 1533-position model. The record is from RNAcentral.
UACGUAGGUGGCAAGCGUUGUCCGGAAUUACUGGGCGUAAAGGGUGCGUAGGCGGUCUUUCAAGCCAGAAGUGAAAGGCUACGGCUCAACCGUAGUAAGCUUUUGGAACUGUAAGACUUGAGUGCAGGAGAGGAGAGUGGAAUUCCUAGUGUAGCGGUGAAAUGCGUAGAUAUUAGGAGGAACACCAGUAGCGAAGGCGGCUCUCUGGACUGUAACUGACGCUGAGGCACGAAAGCGUGGGGAGCAAACAGGAUUAGAUACCCUCGUAGU